Molecule: ribosomal RNA, 490 nt
Filed under: uncultured bacterium
Lineage: Bacteria
Description: partial 16S ribosomal RNA
Rfam family: Bacterial small subunit ribosomal RNA
Source: RNAcentral
AUUGAACGCUGGCGGCAGGCCUAAUACAUGCAAGUCGAGCGGAAACAGGAAGAAGCUUCCUUCCUUGCUUACGAGUGGCGGACGGGUGAGUAAUGUCUGUGAAACUGCCUGAUGAAUGGGGAAAACUACUGGAACCGGUAGCUAAUCCCGCAUAACUUCGGAAGCCCAAGGAUCGGGACUUUAAGGCGUCUUUCCAGCCACUUUGCCCUGAUUGGAUUAGCUAGUAGGUAGGGUAACGGCUCACCUAGGCGACGAUCCAUAGCUGGUCUGAGAGGAUGACCAGCCACACUGGAACUGAGACACGGUCCAGACUCCUACGGGAGGCAGCAGUGGGGAAUCUUGCGCAAUGGGCGAAAGCCUGAUGCAGCAACGCCGCGUGUAUGAAGAAGGUCUUCGGGUUGUAAAGUACUUUCAGCAGGGAAGAAGAGAGUAAUGAUUAUACCUUUACUCAUUGACGUUACCUGAAGAGAAAGCCACGGCUAACUCCGUG